GAUGAACGCUAGCGGGAGGCUUAAUACAUGCAAGUCGAGGGGUAACGAUGGAGCUUGCUCCAGGCGACGACCGGCGCACGGGUGAGUAACGCGUACACAACCUACCUUUAAGAGGGGGAUAGCCUCGGGAAACUGAGAUUAAUACCCCAUGUGAUUGUUAUUAAUAUUUUUUGACAAUUAAAGAUCCGUCGCUUAAAGAUGGGUGUGCGUAUGAUUAGAUAGUUGGUGAGGUAACGGCUCACCAAGUCUACGAUCAUUAGGGGGCGUGAGAGCGUGGCCCCCCACACGGGUACUGAGACACGGACCCGACUCCUACGGGAGGCAGCAGUAAGGAAUAUUGGACAAUGGGGGCAACCCUGAUCCAGCUAUCCCGCGUGCAGGAUGACUGCCCUCUGGGUUGUAAACUGCUUUUGGAAGGGAAGAACCGCCGUCAUUUAUGAUGGUUUGACGGUACCUUCAGAAUAAGCACCGGCUAACUCCG
RNAcentral lists this ribosomal RNA (481 nucleotides) under uncultured Saprospiraceae bacterium. RNAcentral describes it as "bacterial SSU rRNA". It matches the Rfam family "Bacterial small subunit ribosomal RNA", at positions 28 to 505 of the family's 1533-position model. The record is from RNAcentral. Lineage: Bacteria; Pseudomonadati; Bacteroidota; Saprospiria; Saprospirales; Saprospiraceae.